GGUUGUGGCUCAGUGGUAAAGUACUUGCCUAGCACACAUGAGGCCCUGGGUUUGAUUCCUGGCACCA
This 67-nucleotide transfer RNA is filed under the name Marmota monax (woodchuck). RNAcentral's name for it is "tRNA.Ala". Lineage: Eukaryota; Metazoa; Chordata; Mammalia; Rodentia; Sciuridae. The record is from RNAcentral.